This 493-nucleotide ribosomal RNA is filed under the name uncultured bacterium. RNAcentral describes it as "bacterial SSU rRNA". It matches the Rfam family "Bacterial small subunit ribosomal RNA", at positions 19 to 518 of the family's 1533-position model. The record is from RNAcentral.
CUGGCUCAGGAUGAACGCUGGCGGCGUGCUUAAUACAUGCAAGCCGAACGAAGACAUCUCGCCGAAGCUUGCUCAUGAGAUAUCUUAGUGGCGGACGGGUGGAGUAACGCGUGGGUAACCUGCCUUACACAGGGGGAUAACAGUUAGAAAUGACUGCUAAUACCGCAUAAGCGCACAUUAUCGCAUGAUAGAGUGUGAAAAGAUUUAUCGGUGUAAAGAUGGACCCGCGUCUGAUUAGCUAGUUGGUGAGGUAACGGCCACCAAGGCGACGAUCAGUAGCCGGCCUGAGAGGGUGAACGGCCACAUUGGGACUGAGACACGGCCCAAACUCCUACGGGAGGCAGCAGUAGGGAAUAUUGGACAAUGGGGGAAACCCUGAUCCAGCGACGCCGCGUGAGUGAAGAAGUAUUUCGGUACGUAAAGCUCUAUCAGCAGGGAAGAAAAUGACGGUACCGGACUAAGAAGCACCGGCUAGAUACGUGCCAGCAGCAGC